This is a long non-coding RNA of Epinephelus moara (kelp grouper), 3767 nucleotides long. RefSeq lists it as uncharacterized. Lineage: Eukaryota; Metazoa; Chordata; Actinopteri; Perciformes; Serranidae. The transcript has 3 exons. The record is from RefSeq and is a predicted model, not a curated record.
CUCAAAACACAUUUCACAGUUAUUGAUCACUCACCAGUGGAGUACAGGAGAAGUGGUCUACGUUGAGAGGAUCCACUUCGAGCUCGAGGUCAAUGCUGUCAGCAUGCUUUGUGCUGCAGAGCAAGACAACAAAAACUGCUGAUCAGUGGCUCCGCCUCCCUCCACCCCUCCACCCUUGGUUGCCAUGGUUUCUGAGCUGGGGUUCUGAUUGGUUAUCUCAGCCAUCCUCUGUUCCAUCUGCUCCAGACGCUCCAGGAUGGACAUCCUGAACUGGGUAUCUACAAGAAUGAAGCACACAAUCUGAGCCGAAAGGGUGGAGCCAUGUGAGUGACACAGGGCUCAGGCUCCUCCCUUUCUACCCUGCCAAUCAGAGGAGGAAACUGGAGCUGCAGCUUUUUUUUCUUUUUCUUCACGAAGCAAAACACUCCACUAUUCUAGCUGCCAAACACAGCUAAAAGCAGCUUUCUUUACCCAUCAUAACUGCAAACACACAUACAAAUGAUGCAUAAAAACACAUCUUCUAAAAAAGACAAAGUAAAGUAGAUUUCUGGUCACAUAAAAACAUGUAAUGCUUCCAGACAUGCUUCUUAAAGGAGAAAAGGAUGAUUGAGAAGACAGCUAUGAGGAUGUUUUCUGUGGUUAAUUUUAAUAACUUAAUUAACUGAUACAUUAAAAUAUCAUUAGAAAGCUGACAAAUAUUCAUUAAAAUUAAGCAAUUAAACAGGGAUGAAAUGGUUAUUUAAUUACCUCCAUAAGUGACAAGUGAAUUAUUGAAUUUUAAAUAUGUUCGUAAAAUGACUUUCACACAGGCUUUCAGUUUCUUUUAUUUACUGAGUCUUUCUGUCAUUUUUCAUUUUGCAAUUCACUCAUCUACCUGCCAUUCAUACUACUUGAGUCCAGAUGCUGUGAGGCUCAUGUUAUGAGGGAUAUAAGAAAGCCCACUGGUGACAUUAGAUAUUCCUCCUUCAAAGUAAUUUUAAGAUUUAAUUAAAAAACGGAUUAAUUUAUUUAUCAUGUCAAUAGCAUGCAAUUAUAUCCUUACAGAUAUUUUAACCACAUAAUUUAAAUGCUAAUCCAACACAUUAUUUUAUGAAUUGUUUUUGAGUGUAUUAAUUAAGUAAAUUAAUUUUUAUUAUAAAGUAUUCUGGUGACACACCCCAGCUUCUCUAAAGGAUUACAGAUCAUAUGUGUUCCUGCAAUUUUUUUUUAUUUUUUAUUUUUUUACAAAAGUUUGUUUGAUGAUAACCGAAAGUUGUACCUGGUACCUGUGGAUUUACUGAUCAACUCUGACACUUUUUCUGUUCUGCUGAAAGGUAUUUCCCCCAUAAUGCUUUGCUAUCUUGGAUUCAUCUUCAAUAAAUGAGGCUCUCACCAUGACAUCACCAAACUCUGAUAACACAUGACUACACUGCAAACCAUUUUUUAGGAAGAGACCAGUGAGACAAACUUGUGUUAGUAAAGAUAGAAUAAGUUGCAGUAUUGCACUUCAUUUAAAUUAAAUCAAAUCAGUUUUCAAGUUCGUAAUCUUGACUAAAACUAUGAUGAAAGUUGUUUAAGAAGUUCUGUAAAAUCAGUUUACAUUUGGCUAACCUGAAGCUAGUGCCUUUAUAACUAAAUCCCAGUUUGUUUGCACAGAAUUUCUAGUGAGCACCUUUUUACAUAUAUAUUUUUUGUUACAUGUACACCAAUAGUUCACCACAUGUUCAACAUAACAUGAUUUGAUUAGUUGACAUUAAUUGGAAAAUUAUUCAGAUAAAAACAAACUUUUAGUAGUAAAAAUGAACACCUACAACACGGUAUCUACUGUAUUAUCCAAUUCAAGCUUUAGCUGGUCAACAACAUGUCCACAUGUCUGUGUCUCAGGCCUGUUAUUAUCUGGGCCCCGACACGAGCCCCAUUAGCCUCCCUUCAUUUGUUGUUCUAGAGUUGAGUGGAGCUGUCCACUCCUGGUGGUGCUGAAAGUGAACAGGUCAACAUGUUCAUAUCAUCAGCUCUGCAACACAACACAAGCAGGCUCUCUGUCUUUUAUUAGCGUGCAAACAAACAUGAGGACUUGUGGCUUUUCCUGCGUCCCUUUGUCUGAGCCCGACAGAGCCUAAGCACCACAUGUACAACAUACAUUCUGACUGAAACCACAAAUGCAAAAGUAGUUUAAAGCUUUAAAUCACUGAAGUCGAAAUUUAGACAGCAGGCACAUUUACGUCCAUUUAUAGCAGCAUGACAAAAAAACUUAACCUAGCUACAAACAACACAGACCUGGCCGCCGAUAAAAGGGCGCGCUUUGAAGUUAUCAUCAGUUUAAAAUCAAAUGAGCUACGAACCCACACAGCGCGUCUCUCUAUGUGCCGCUCUCUUUGUUCCCGCUUCUGUUCAACCCCGUUAGUUUGAAGUGUGCGACUCACACAUUGCUACUCCGAUCGAGCAAAACACAACUAAGUGCAGAGAGAGAGAGAGAGAGAGAGAGAGAGAGAGAUGGAGAGAGAGCAGUCUCCACGUUGUGUCUGAGAGCAGACACGCUUCAAAUCCGCCCGCCAGACUCUGAGCUGCAGGAGGCUCGGUCGUCAUCGGCACAACAAUAGACAGCACACAAACUAAAUUGGAGCAAUGACAUGUGACAAAGUCGUGUGCUGACGCAUGUUUGCUUAAAAUGAUCUAUCCCUGUCUAUUUCUCUCCCAGGCUGCGAGGCUUUGAUGUUACAUUUGAGGCCAAACAAAGGACUUGAGCGAAAAAUAACCGGAGCGCUCAUCCAGCUCUCGGUUUCAUCUCUGAAAGUCAAAGGCAGAGCCUAUAUAUAGCGUCUGUGAGGCUGCACGAGCGCACUGCCGGUGGUGCCCAACAUUUUGACUGUCAAGUGGACCGCGAUUGUGCCAUGAUGUCCUUGCCCUUCACUCCAGCAAACAGCCAGCCUGCUGUGACUGUAGAGCCGCAUUGCCGCAUUGCGCAACGCAGAGACGGGGGCGAACACAGAGUAACCCAGGACAUGCCUCAGCCGAGGAGACCCGUGUGUUUCCAAGCCGCAAUUGCAUCAGGAGAUAUAUUUGCACACAGAAGCUAACACCCCCCGGGUGCUGUGCAGAUAUACGCAACCAAUCCCCCAGAGCUGACUCAAAGAACAUUUAAUUGUCCUCUAACAUCUCACAGCACGUUUUCAUUUAAUGCAGUAUCAUGAAAUCUCACUGGAAACACAUCAGCAGCUCCAACAAAAUCAUUCAGAUUUCUUUCCAGACACUCACAAUGGACUCUAUAUGAUUUUGACCUCAACAACUCCAACAAAUCAAAGCCUAAAGAUGAAAGCUCACAUGGUUUCACAGAACAGGUGUCAAAACUGUUUAGGAGCUUUGAUUCCUUUUUGAGUGUAUCUGCAUGCAGGCCAAGGGUGAGAACAGAAAACACAGCUGCAUCCCAGGGCACAGAAGAACACCAGUAAGCCAAAUAUCACACCAUACUGGUCAGUACAUCAGUUGCUGUGGACAGAGACAGCCAUGGAUGCUUCUAAACCAGUGGUUCUCGAACUCAGUGGCAUAUGGAUGACCAGGGGAUUCAUGUCUGUUAGAUGCUACCCCAAUUAUUCUUAAUUACUGAUGAAAAAAAUUGGGGUGAGGUGGGGUGGAGGGCGUGGGAGGAAUGAAUUUGUCAGCUUCUGAAGGGGGGCAUGACAGAAAAAGUUUGAGAACCACUGAUCUAACCAAGCAGAGCAGCAUAAUGACAUCCACACACACACCAACAGGUUAUCUCAAAGCUUGAACGGAUCAAAAAUGGCAGAGGG